CUACGGGGUGCAGCAGUGAGGAAUAUUGCGCAAUGGGGGCAACCCUGACGCAGCGACGCCGCGUGAGUGAGGAAGGCCUUCGGGUCGUAAAGCUCUGUCAAGAGGAAAGAAGUGCAUAGUAGUUAAUACCUGCUAUGUUUGACGGUACCUCUAAAGGAAGCACCGGCUAACUCCGUGCCAGCAGCCGCGGUAAUACGGAGGGUGCAAGCGUUGUUCGGAAUCACUGGGCGUAAAGGGCGCGCAGGCGGCCUGGUAAGUCAGAUGUGAAAGCCCACGGCUUAACCGUGGAAGUGCAUUUGAAACUGUCAGGCUUGAGUACCAGAGGGGAAAGUGGAAUUCCCGGUGUAGAGGUGAAAUUCGUAGAUAUCGGGAGGAAUACCGGUGGCGAAGGCGACUUUCUGGCUGAGUACUGACGCUGAGGCGCGAAAGCGUGGGGAGCAAACAGGAUUAGAUACCCCAGUAGUC
RNAcentral lists this ribosomal RNA (465 nucleotides) under uncultured bacterium. RNAcentral describes it as "partial 16S ribosomal RNA". It matches the Rfam family "Bacterial small subunit ribosomal RNA", at positions 339 to 795 of the family's 1533-position model. The record is from RNAcentral.